Molecule: RNA transcript, 3680 nt
Organism: Pistacia vera
Lineage: Eukaryota; Viridiplantae; Streptophyta; Magnoliopsida; Sapindales; Anacardiaceae
Exons: 10
Source: RefSeq, a predicted model, not a curated record
GAUUACUAUUUUGUUUUCAUUUUCAUUUACUUUUGGUUGCACUUGUACUACUUCUUUCUCUUAUAGUGUGGUAAGUACUUUCAUAUCCUUAUCUAUGUGUUUCCUUUAGCUAGUGUUUCAGUGGUCUUAUUUACUUUUUGACUCAAUUGAAAGUUUCUGUCUUUGCAGAUCUGUGGGUUGAUGAUGUGACAGUAUGCAGUGGCCUCCAUUUCUUUUUCAUCAUAGAAGUUUGUUCUGGUUCAUUUCUUGAUCGGACAUUGUGACAAGUGCUUCCUGAGUUCAAAAUGUCAAGCAACAGAGUUUUUUUAACAUACAACAGAAGGAGGGUAUCAUCAAGAACUGGUCUUGGCCAUGGAAAUGGCUGUUGGGAUUCAAUGUCAAAUGGUUUAAGUGACGCUUUGAUGACUGCAUCAGACAAACAUGAUGCACCAAGUGAAAAGUGCCUCAGAAAUGGUUGUUGCAAUUCAAUCUCUAAUGGUUUAAGUGACACUUUGAUGACUGCAUCUGACAAACAUGAUGCACCAAGUGGCAAGCAUGUACCAGAAGAUCAAAGAACAAAUUCAAUGCAGAUUUCUCUCGAGUGUGUUGUAUGUGGUGCCAGAGACAACUUAUUGCAAUGUGAUGACUGCCAUCAAAGUUAUCAUCUUCGGUGUCUUGAUCGGUCUGUGAAGCAUAUUCGUCUUGGGAAAAGGCUAUGCUCUGAUUGUUUUGUAAAAAAAUCUCAGCCGGUCCGAAAAUCUAGCAGACUGAAGGCAAGGAAGCACAUUCAAGGAUCUAAUGUGCUGCAAAUGACAGUUAGGUCUCAGAAUCUUGGUGAGGGUCCCUCAAGGACUGACACUGGUGAAUGGUCUUCUGUGGAUAUCUCAUCCAAAAAUAAAUCAAUUGACUUUCACAAUGGUUCAUGUUCCAAUGUGAACUAUUCUUCUGCAAGUGAUAAUGCAUGCUCUGAAAGUAGAUUGGUUUCUCAGUCAAUGGGGAUGGAAACUGCACAGAGCUUAAAUUUUAUUGGUUCAAAAUCAGCUGAUGAAAGCAAAAGUAGCUUGCCAUGUGAUGAUGGCUCUUCCAUGUCAAAAACAUUAAACUUGGGAAUCUCCACAGAUAACUUCACCAACUUAUCCAGUGAUUUGCAUGUGCAGAGGAAAGUGACCACUCCAUUGAUUACUUUCAGUCGGAAAAAUAAAAGGAAAAAAGAUUUAGAUCAGGCUGAUGCACUGAAGGAUUCAUCUCCCAUGGAGAAUAGUGGUUCUUUACUAACCAGGUGGAGUAAUUAUACUCGUGUGAAUACCUCUUCUUCUGAAGCAACAUCUCAUAAAGGCAGAUCAAUAGAUCAUUCAGGACGUAUGGAGCUACCAGGGAAAAAUCCAGAUGGUGGGCAUCUUUGUUGCAACCAAGAUAAAAUGAACGAAGUUCAAUCUUUAGAUGGUGAUGCAAGACCUGUCUUGGAAACUAGGAACAGUUUGACAUGUGAGGAUAAACUAUUACAUGAUGGCAAAGGCAUAUCCAAGGAUGAUUUACUUGUUUCUGGGCAAGAACCAUUCCAUAGUAGCAAAGUUUCCUUGGAUGUUCAAAAAACCUCUUUAAAUAACACAGUCAAAGAUUCUUCCCCUAAUGGCAUAACUGAAGAUGAAAAUUUAGAGAACUGUGAAUUUCAGGCAUGUGUUGGAGAUGAAUCUCAGGUCUUGUCCAGUGAUGGUGUGAAAGCAACAAGGGUUCCUGAAUGUACAAGAGAAAAAUUACUACCUUGUUUGAACCAUUCUGUUACUUGCCCUGACUCAUGUUGUGCAAUGAGCUAUUAUAUUGACAUCAAUUCGAGUCCACCGAAGCAACCUUCUAAUUCUGCACCAGUGGCUCUUUUGGACUCACUAGAUUCUUCAAGCAGAAGUCAUACCUCUUUAUCACAUGAAGUGUCUCCUUCAGAAUUAAUGGAUGCAAUAAAUGAGAGAGGUGGGAAAUCUCCAUUGGUGCACAACACAAGGGUACCUGCGGAGACAUUGAUGCUUGUGGAUGAUGUUGGUGCCAACUGCAGAAAUAAUCCCGGGUGCUUCAUGGACAUUGCAUCAAAAUCCAAAUGCCUACGGUUAUUUUCGGAAGAAAAAAGCAAUGAUGUUCCCCCUAGGGUAGUUACAAGACCUGAGGAAAGAACAUACAUGGUUUCAGAGGAAAGAAACACAUUCCAAUUAGCCAGUGAAAUUAAUCCGCCGAAGCAAACUUCAAGCAGAUCUUCAUGCUUCUUAGAUUUAUCCUUGCCAAUAGAACCUAAUUUUGGUGGAUGCUCCUCCAAGAAUUUCUCCACUACAAUGCCAUUGCUAAACUCCAGUGAUGAAUUUAAAGAGUUUAUCUACGGUGAAGUGAAUCAAUCCUCGUUUAGCCAAACAUCCAAGCAGAGACACAAGAUGGUGCUUGACAGCAUCAUGAACCGAGCAAGAGCUUUGAAUGGAAGAGGCAGUUUUCAAGACCAAUUCAAGCCAUAUGUUAACUUUUGGUCUGAGGAGGAGUUGGAUUUUCUCUGGAUAGGUGUCAGAAGACAUGGAAGGGACAAUUGGGAUGCCAUAUUGGGAGACACUAGAUUGCACUUCUCUCCAUGGAGGGUGGCUGCAGAUCUUGCUGAGAGGUGGGAGGAGGAACAAUAUAAACUUUUGAAUGGCACGUCUGUUUCACAAUUCAAGUAUUCAAAAGCACAGGUUGUUUCUUUCGACUGUAGAGAUGCCUUCUUUCAUCCCACAAGAAGAGUCCGGACAGAAAAUAUGAUGGAUAAAACCCGACUUUCGCUCGGUGGUGUAUAUGCUCAUAGAGAUGGCAGUAUCUCAAAGAGACCAUGUUUUGACUUCGCAAAAAUUGAAAGCAGUGGCACUGAACAGCUCCAGGGUCCUAUUGUUUAUCAAAGGAGGGGCCCUUAUACAGAUUUUCAAGGGGAAGUAUAUGAUCGGGGAUCAUGCAAUUAUUUUGGAAGCAAGAAUUUGCCUAUAUGUGAUCCAUUAUGGAGCAAUGACCCUGUUACUUGCUCAAUUGUGAAGAGUGAUUUGCCCCACUGGCUUAGAGAAGCUGUAACUGCUCCACAUGAAAAGCCAGCGGUGCCAACUAUUCCUCCAAGGACACUGCAGGUUAGCCAACCUAAUUUUGAUCCUAGUGAGCCACACUUUGGGCCCAGGAACAGAGUCCACAGUGAAUUUUCCAGUUUAAGAGCAAGUGGCUUACAACCAUCUACUAGUGCUCAUCACAACUUCUCCUCUGGAAUAAGACAUGGAAUAGAUGAGCAAAACAAGACCUCUUUGUAUAAUACAAAUAAACCAACUGAAUUGAUCAUCAUUGAGAGUGACGCAUCUUCGGAAGAGACCAUAUCUGAUGAUCAUACUUCAAGGCCCUAGGCUUAGUACUGAAGCUUUUGCUAGUGAGACUGUUGCCGCAAGUUGUAGAAAGUAGAUGUUAAACAACCUGAAAAUCCAUUGAAAUGAUAUUUCGAUUCUUCUGCACUGUGCACAUAUGCAUUCUGAUCAUCGUCUCUCAAUGGCUGAGGAUCUUGGGAGAUUUCUAUGCAUCUCUGAGAUUUUCUCAGUCCUUCGAGCUCCAUCGCCACCUCUUUCAUGGAGUACAUUGGAAGAUUUGAUAUCGCGAUGAAAAAUGGGGAUUGAGGCUGCAGAAUGCAUAUAAGCUACUGCUCCUGCAACAUCGCAAGCAAUUCU